GAGGAAUAUUGGUCUAUGGGGGAGAGCCUGAACCAGCCAAAUCGCGUGAAGGAAGACUGCGUUAUGGGUUGUAAACUUCUUUUAUACGGGAAUAAAAAGGGGACGUGUCCCUUAUUGCAUGUACUGUAUGAAUAAGCAUCGGCUAACUCCGUGCCAGCAGCCGCGGUAAUACGGAGGAUGCGAGCGUUAUCCGGAUUUAUUGGGUUUAAAGGGUGCGCAGGCGGGCUUUUAAGUCAGCGGUGGAAAUCUGGACGCUUAACGUCCAAACUACCGUUGAAACUGGGAGUCUUGAGUAUGGAUGAAGUAGGCGGAAUUCGUUGUGUAGCGGUGACAUGCAUAGAUAUAACGAGGAACUCCGAUUGCGUAGGCAGCUUACUAAGCCAUAACUGACGCUCAUGCACGAAAGCGUGGGGAUCAAACA
Molecule: ribosomal RNA, 421 nt
Filed under: uncultured Dysgonomonas sp.
Lineage: Bacteria; Pseudomonadati; Bacteroidota; Bacteroidia; Bacteroidales; Dysgonomonadaceae
Description: bacterial SSU rRNA
Rfam family: Bacterial small subunit ribosomal RNA
Source: RNAcentral